This 235-nucleotide non-coding RNA is filed under the name Anaerococcus prevotii. RNAcentral describes it as "T-box sequence". It matches the Rfam family "T-box leader". Rfam says of the family: Uncharged tRNA acts as the effector for transcription antitermination of genes in the T-box leader family. T-boxes are found upstream of many aminoacyl-tRNA synthetase genes and some amino acid biosynthetic genes usually in Gram-positive bacteria. The record is from RNAcentral. Lineage: Bacteria; Bacillati; Bacillota; Tissierellia; Tissierellales; Peptoniphilaceae.
AAAUAAACUGUGAUAAGAAAAGUAGAUUUGACGGACCUACCCAGAGAGACUAUGGUUGGUGGAAAUAGUUUAGAGAAAUCAGAUUGAAAAUGGCCUUUGAGUUUCUUACUUGAUAUUUAGAGUAAGACGUGUUCGCACGUUAUAGCGAUAGAGUAUGUUGGUACUCGAUGAGUUAUUAAUUGUGAGAUUAAUUUAAAUUUUAGGUGGUAACACGUGGCAGAGCCUCGUCCUUUAU